Non-coding RNA from Apis mellifera (honey bee), 68 nucleotides. Lineage: Eukaryota; Metazoa; Arthropoda; Insecta; Hymenoptera; Apidae. The record is from RefSeq and is marked provisional.
AGGUAGGUAACGACUGAUGGGAACACUCUGAGAUUUUCUUUAAUGUUCUCUUUGGUUGUUACCACUAG